Molecule: ribosomal RNA, 492 nt
Filed under: uncultured bacterium
Lineage: Bacteria
Description: partial 16S ribosomal RNA
Rfam family: Bacterial small subunit ribosomal RNA
Source: RNAcentral
AGUGGACGCUGGCGGUAGGCCUAACACAUGCAAGUCGAACGGCAGCACAGUAAGAGCUUGCUCUUACGGGUGGCGAGUGGCGGACGGGUGAGGAAUACAUCGGAAUCUACUUUUUCGUGGGGGAUAACGUAGGGAAACUUACGCUAAUACCGCAUACGACCUACGGGUGAAAGCAGGGGAUCUUCGGACCUUGCGCAAUUGAAUGAGCCGAUGUCGGAUUAGCUAGUUGGCGGGGUAAAGGCCCACCAAGGCGACGAUCCGUAGCUGGUCUGAGAGGAUGAUCAGCCACACUGGAACUGAGACGCGGUCCAGACUCCUACGGGAGGCAGCAGUGGGGAAUAUUGGACAAUGGGCGCAAGCCUGAUCCAGCCAUACCGCGUGGGUGAAGAAGGCCUUCGGGUUGUAAAGCCCUUUUGUUGGGAAAGAAAAGCAGCAGGUUAAUACCCCGCUGUUCUGACGGUACCCAAAGAAUAAGCACCGGCUAACUUCGUG